ACGAACGCUGGCGGCGUGCUUAACACAUGCCAGUCGAACGGAAAGGCCCUGCUUUUGUGGGGUGCUCGAGUGGCGAACGGGUGAGUAACACGUGAGUAACCUGCCCUUGCCUUUGGGAUAACUUCAGGAAACUGGGGCUAAUACCGGAUAGGAGCUCCUGCUGCAUGGUGGGGGUUGGAAAGUUUCGGCGGUUGGGGAUGGACUCGCGGCUUAUCAGCUUGUUGGUGGGGUAGUGGCUUACCAAGGCUUUGACGGGUAGCCGGCCUGAGAGGGUGACCGGCCACAUUGGGACUGAGAUACGGCCCAGACUCCUACGGGAGGCAGCAGUGGGGAAUAUUGCACAAUGGGCGGAAGCCUGAUGCAGCAACGCCGCGUGCGGGAUGACGGCCUUCGGGUUGUAAACCGCUUUCGCCUGUGACGAAGCGUGAGUGACGGUAAUGGGUAAAGAAGCACCGGCUAACUACGUG
This 467-nucleotide ribosomal RNA is filed under the name uncultured bacterium. RNAcentral describes it as "partial 16S ribosomal RNA". It matches the Rfam family "Bacterial small subunit ribosomal RNA", at positions 29 to 507 of the family's 1533-position model. The record is from RNAcentral.